RNAcentral lists this ribosomal RNA (429 nucleotides) under Actinomycetes bacterium. Its description in RNAcentral is "Actinobacteria bacterium partial 16S ribosomal RNA". It matches the Rfam family "Bacterial small subunit ribosomal RNA", at positions 355 to 776 of the family's 1533-position model. Lineage: Bacteria; Bacillati; Actinomycetota; Actinomycetes. The record is from RNAcentral.
UAGGGAAUCUUCCGCAAUGGGCGAAAGCCUGACGGAGCAACGCCGCGUGAGUGAUGAAGGUCUUCGGAUUGUAAAACUCUGUUAUUCGGGAAGAACAAAUGUGUAAGUAACUAUGCACGUCUUGACGGUACCUAAUCAGAAAGCCACGGCUAACUACGUGCCAGCAGCCGCGGUAAUACGUAGGUGGCAAGCGUUAUCCGGAAUUAUUGGGCGUAAAGCGCGCGUAGGCGGUUUUUUAAGUCUGAUGUGAAAGCCCACGGCUCAACCGUGGAGGGUCAUUGGAAACUGGAAAACGUGAGUGCAGAAGAGGAAAGUGGAAUUCCAUGUGUAGCGGUGAAAUGCGCAGAGAUGUGGAGGAACACCAGUGGCGAAGGCGACUUUCGGGUCUGUAACUGACGCUGAUGUGCGAAAGCGUGGGGAUCAAACAGG